Molecule: long non-coding RNA, 1744 nt
Organism: Homo sapiens (human)
Lineage: Eukaryota; Metazoa; Chordata; Mammalia; Primates; Hominidae
Exons: 3
Source: RefSeq, a predicted model, not a curated record
CAGAGAUGCACACGCACACCCACGCCCACUCACCCUCCUGCAAGGCUGUGUUAGACGGAUUGUACCUGCUUCCUAAGGAGAGGGACUGGGUGCUGUGGCCAGAAUGGCUGAGGGCUCCUUGUCAUAUAGGAGAGGUUUGGGCAAUUGUGGAAAGUUCAACUCACAGGCCAGCACUGCAGUGGGGAGAGGGGGAUCCUAGUGCCCUGUUGAGGAUAGAGGGUGAGAGGUCAGAGAAUCUUAGGGUUAGUAGAUCUGCUCCCCCCUGACCAGCAUCCAGAAAAUUCUAUGACCCUCCCCUCCGUAGAGGUUUCAGACUUUCAUGGAUAUCAGAUCCACCUAGGGUGCUGAUUAAAAAAUUCAGACACCUGGGCCGCCCCAUCAGAGAUUAUUAUCCCCACCUGGCAGGAAUGGAAACUGAAGCCCAGAGAGGCUAGGUAACUUGCCCAGGACCACAUAGCAGGGCUGGUAUAUGGGCAGUCCAGUGCCCAAGCUCUGAACCACCAUGCCAGGCUGUUUCAGGCACCUGCAGACCCAGAUGCAGACAUCUGAGGACACACCACAACCAGUCCCUGAGGGGAGCAAGAUGGGGAGCAGGGUGCAGAGCUGGACACAAAGCCAGGACCCCAAACUCAGCGCUCUGUUCCCACGUGGGCCAGGAGACUCAAGAGAAAAACCUGAGGCCCAAUCCCAGCUGCGUGAACUGGCUCGACAAGGCUGCGGGAUGCAGAGGCCAGAGCAGCCUCAACCCCCAACCCCUCAGUCUCCAGCAGAAGAAUAUGCGAACACUCCUCAGAACAAGUUCCAGCUCGAGUUCCUUCCUUCCUGCUUCCGUCAACUCCAUCCCUCCAAGCCUUGGCCUCCCCUCAGCACCUCAUCCAACUGGCAAACUUCCAAGGAGAGGCAGGACAGUGAGCAGGCACUCUGCCCAGACUGCCUGUGUUCAACCUCCAGAGCUUACCAGCUCUGCAACCUUGGGAAGAUGAGGUUAUGGGUGCUACGGAGCUCUGGUCCGCCAGUUCCUGCUGCAAGUCACCGCUGUUCACUCACCAAGAAACAAGUUGGUCAGGAAGCUGCACUGCAGCUGUGGUGUUUUUUUGUUUUGUUUUGUUUUUUUGAGACGCAGCCUUGCUCUGUUGCCCAGGCCAGAGUGCAGUGGCACAAUCUCAGCCCACUGCAACCUCCACCUCCCAGUUUCAAGCCAUUCACCUGCCUCAGCCUCCUGAGUAGCUGGAAUUACAGGCACCUGCCAACAUGCCCAGCUAAUUUUUGUAUUUUUAGUAGAGAUAGGGUUUCACCAUGUUGGCCAGGCUGGUCCUGAAUCCCUGACCUCAAGUGAUCCACCCACCUUGGCCUCCCAAAGUGCUGGGAUUACAGCCACGAGCCCCCGCGCCCGGCCCAGCUGUGGCUUUUAAGGACACCAGAGAAACACUCAUGGAGCCAGAGGUGGCAAAUCACCGAAUUAGAAUUACCCUAACCAGCUGCAAAGAAAAAUCCCUGGAGGUGUGUGCUGACUUGAUCAGAGGCCCCAAGGAAAGAACUCUCAAAAGUGACAGGACCAAUUCUGAUGCCUCCCAGGACUUUGAGAAUCACCCUGAGAAAAACUUGUGGUGGGCUGGGCGCUGUGACUCACGCCUGUAAUCCUAGCACUUUGGAGGCCGAGGCGGGUGGACCACUUGAGCCCAGGAGCUCAAGACCAGCCUGGCCAACAUGGUGAAACCCCGUCUCUACAAAAAAAAUACAAAAA